GCUCAGAUGGUGGCGCCUGGGGGUGGAGGGGACCCUGCAGAAGCUCGCGCUGCGCCGGAAGAAGGCGCUGAACGCCCAGGAGAUGGCGCCGGACUGGCUGCGCAGACGGCGGGCGGCGCCAUCGACCCCGCCGUGUUCAAAGAUCCGGCGUGGGCGGGGCUGCGAGCUCGAUGACCCCAAACACUUUGCUUUCCUCCCCCUGCCCUUGUUGGAGUCCCGGAGGCCCAGGGCAGAGUUGGGUCUUGAGGGAGGCGACCACGCCCGCCCGCUGUCGCUGAGCCGCCUGGCCUGGGCGAGGAGGGCUCCCUGCGCACGGGUCUGUCUCUGCAGGAUCCCAGUGGCCCUGCUGAUGCUGCACGUGGCGCCCCUCGCCGUCCUCCAGAUGCUCCGUCCGUGUGCCGAGCAGAGGCUGCCGAGCGUGCCCCAGGCCCCUGCGGCUGUGUCUGCCCCCAUCGAGCCUGCCUGAGUCAAGAGGUCAGAGUUGGGCCCGGUGCUCCCCGCCCGCCCCUGUGGCCCGGGCAGCUAGGUGGCAGGGGUAGGGAGGGGGCAGCGCCGGGCACGGGGUGGCCUUGGCCCUCAGUGGACAGGCCUUUCCGUCCGUCUUGUCCCAGGGCCCGCUGGGCCAUCCAAGGGCUGGCCCCUUGGGCUCCAGUUGCCAGCUUCGGCCUGGCUGCGCCCUGCAGAGAGAACCUGCGGAUCGGGUGGACGCAGAGCGGGUGCCCCCGGGAGGCCGAGUAGGCUGGGCCUCAUCUGGGACAUUUGCUGCCCCAGCCUCUCCUCCCCUCUGCACUCCUGCCUUCGUUCCACAAACCCGGGAAUAAGACUGCUUUGGUGCCUGUGCUCAUAGUUUAUCUGGCCUCAGGGAGCUGGGCAGGCAGAGGCCUUCCUGCCACCCCCUCACCUGUACUCCACUGGCCCCAAGUACUGCUCUGGAGUCUGGCCAGAUGAGCUUCCCUCCUCGGGUGGUGGGGCGUGGGAUGGGAGUGAACGUGGCAGCCCCUGGCUGCCCUGGACACUCAGGGUGCAGAGGCCGGAGUGGCAGAGCACUGGGCUCAGGUGUCAGGGGCCUCCUCACUCUCGAGGGCCAUGACUGGGGCAUGAACAGGUGCUGGUGACAAGGUGUCAUGGUGCAGCUCCAACUGCCUCCUCCCCAUGUGUCCCUUCUGCUCCCAGGUGCUAUCAGAAACCCUCUGACUUGCAGCCGAACCCCCUGGCUGGCUGCUUGGCCAGAAGCAUGGGGCUCUCUCAGACACCCGGAGAAGGGCUGACCUGUGGGUGGAGGACAGGCUGGGCCACUGUGGGUGGGAGAGCCAGGGCCCUGGGUCCCCACGUCCCCUGUCCUGUGCGGCCCUGGGUACUCGAGUGCAGGCCUCCUCACUGACCCAUGCUCUGUCUGCUCUCUCUGUGUCUCUCUGACCUCCAGGGCCUCUUUCUGCCAAGAACUGGAGCCUCCGCAGGCCCCUCCUUUUCCUGGGCCCCGGGCCUGCAGCCUCUGCGGUUCUGCUCCACGGCCCCACUGCCCUGCACUUGCCUCUCUCCUGGGCCCCUGGGUCCCUCCAGUUCUCUUGCUGCCUGUUCUCUCCUUUUACAGGUUGUGUUUAUUGGUUUAUCUCUGGGGGUUGGUGCCCUCUCUUGUUUCCAUGGAAACUGCCGUGGUCCCCAGAAAACCAGAGCAGCUUCGAGCAGCAAGGGCAGGACCCUGUGGGCCAUCCCUGCCAUCAGCUUAGAGACCAAGGACAGGAUUUCAGGGCUCGCUUUAUUAGAGACAACCUGCAGUCCUUCUGGAACAGGAUCAACACCCGCACCCCCUGGAGGCUAACUCAGCUGGAGAGGGGGAAGCAGAAGACCCCGGAAGCACCGAGGGGGAAUGCUUGUCAUGGGGGGACGUGGGUCACUGAGGAAAGAAAUUCAGUGGAGUGCUCCCUGUUGAAGUUCAGGAAACUACGUCUUAAAAGAUGUCCCUCCAGGACGUGGGGGAUGAACGUGGUGCGCGGAAGCCAUGGGCUUCUCAUGCAGCUUCGCUGUGCGAUGCGGGAGCCACAGGCCCCAGGCUGGUAUGGUGAGAGGCACUGGGCAUGUGGGCACCCGCCAUGUGCCUGGGUGCAGAGGGCUGGGCGCAGAGGGAACAUCACACCUCACGCGUGAUUCUUAUACUGAUCCCAUGUUGAAGUGAUAAUAUGUUGGAUAUUUGGGGUUAAUUAAAACAGAUUAUUUAAAUUAA
Non-coding RNA from Equus caballus (horse), 2221 nucleotides. NCBI's taxonomy places the organism in Eukaryota, Metazoa, Chordata, Mammalia, Perissodactyla, Equidae. The record is from RefSeq and is a predicted model, not a curated record.